This 305-nucleotide ribosomal RNA is filed under the name uncultured bacterium. RNAcentral's name for it is "partial 16S ribosomal RNA". It matches the Rfam family "Bacterial small subunit ribosomal RNA", at positions 508 to 809 of the family's 1533-position model. The record is from RNAcentral.
ACAGCAGUCGCCGCGGGAAUACAGAGGGUGCGAGCGUUAAUCGGAUUUACUGGGCGUAAAGCGUGCGUAGGCGGCUUUUUAAGUCGGAUGUGAAAUCCCUGAGCUUAACUUAGGAAUUGCAUUCGAUACUGGGAAGCUAGAGUAUGGGAGAGGAUGGUAGAAUUCCAGGUGUAGCGGUGAAAUGCGUAGAGAUCUGGAGGAAUACCGAUGGCGAAGGCAGCCAUCUGGCCUAAUACUGACGCUGAGGUACGAAAGCAUGGGGAGCAAACAGGAUUAGAUACCCCCGUAGUCCCUGUCUCUUAUAA